This 2530-nucleotide ribosomal RNA is filed under the name mine drainage metagenome. RNAcentral's name for it is "bacterial LSU rRNA". It matches the Rfam family "Bacterial large subunit ribosomal RNA", at positions 346 to 2925 of the family's 2925-position model. The record is from RNAcentral.
AAAGGCCGACCAGAGAGGGUGACAGUCCCGUAGUCGAAAACGCAGCGGAGGACCGACUUGUGAUCCGGAGUACCACCGGGCCCGAGAAACCCGGUGGGAAGCAGGGAAGACCACUUUCCAAGGCUAAAUACUCACUGCUGACCGAUAGUGAACCAGUACCGUGAGGGAAAGGCGAAAAGAACCCCGGGCAGGGGAGUGAAAUAGAACCUGAAACCGUCUGCCUACAACCAGUCGGAGCACAGCGCUCGCAAGAGCCGUGUGACGGCGUGCCUUUUGCUUAAUGAGCCGGCGAGUUCAUCAGGGGAGCGAGGUUAAGGAGAUUCCGGAGCCGAAGCGAAAGCGAGUCCGAAGAGGGCGACAGAGUUGUCCUGAUGAGACCCGAAGCGAAGUGAUCUACCCAUGGCCAGGGUGAAGCGCGGCUAACCCCGCGUGGAGGCCCGAACCGGUGCCUGGUGCAAAAGACUCGGAUGAGCUGUGGGUAGGGGCGAAAGACUAAUCAAACUUCGUGAUAGCUGGUUCUCCUCGAAAUCACUCUAGGGUGAGCCUUGCGUGAAUCCUGUCGGAGGUAGAGCACUGAAUGGACGAGGGGCCUUCACCGGCUACCGAAUCCAACCAAACUCCGAAUGCCGACAGAGAAUGCGCAGGAGUUAGACUACGGGUGCUAAGAUCCGUGGUCAAAAGGGAAACAGCCCAGACCGCCAAGUAAGGUCCCCAAUCCAUGCUUAGUGGGAAAGGAAGUGGAUAUCCAGAGACAGCCAGGAGGUUGGCUUAGAAGCAGCCAUCCUUGAAAGAGUGCGUAAUAGCUCACUGGUCGCAGGUAUCCGGCGCCAAAAUGGUUCGGGGCUAAGGGGUCGACCGAAAGGGCGGCUCGGGUCCAGAGGGGUCCGGGGGGAGGGGAGCGUCCCCUGUGGGGGGAAGCGGGCCGGGAGGCCGCGUGGACUGCUGUGGAGUGCGAAUGCCGGUAUGAGUAGCGAAAAGGGGCGUGAGAAUCGCCCCCGCCGAAAGCCGCAGGGUUCCGGAGGCAGGAUCGUCCGCUCCGGGUUAGUCGGACCUAAGGCGAGGCCGUCAAGGCGUAGUCGAUGGAGACACGGUGGAGAAUCCGUGACCUCGACGCCGUGGCGAACGGCUCGGGACAGGCUCCGGGUGGGGAAGCGCCCCGUUGGUUGUGGGCGUCCCGCACGGGGGACGGAAGACGAGUACGGAAGUCGACCAUCGGGAGCCUCGAGAAAAGCGAGUCGGGAGCGGCGUCGAGUCCGUACUCAAACCGACACAGGUCGGCGAGGCGAGGAGCCUCAGGCGCGCGAGUGACCUCUCGUUAAGGAACUCGGCAAAAUGCCCCCGUAACUUCGGGAGAAGGGGGCCCGGCGGCAGCCGCCGCCGGGGGCAGCAAAGCGGCCCAAGCGACUGUUUACCACAAACACAGGUCCCUGCGAAGUCGUAAGACGCCGUAUAGGGGCUGACGCCUGCCCGGUGCUGGAAGGUUAAGGAGCGGGGUGCAAGCCCCAACCCGAAGCCCCAGUCAACGGCGGCCGUAACUAUAACGGUCCUAAGGUAGCGAAAUUCCUUGUCGGGUAAGUUCCGACCCGCACGAAAGGCGUAACGACUUGGGUACUGUCUCAACGAGAGACUCGGUGAAAUUGCAAGCCCUGUGAAGAUGCAGGGUACUGACGACUGGACAGAAAGACCCCGUGGAGCUUGACUGUAGCCUGCUAUGGGUCGUUCGGGCCGCGUGUACAGGAUAGGUGGGAGGCAACGAAGCGGGGGCGUCAGCCCCCGGGGAGCCAGCCUUGGGAUACCACCCUCGCGGCGUGACCGAUCUAACCGUCCGCGCCACCCGCGGCGGGACAGUGGCAGGGGGGCAGUUUGACUGGGGCGGUCGCCUCCCAAACCGUAACGGAGGCGCCCCAUGGUUCCCUCAGCACGGUUAGACAUCGUGCAGGGCGUGCAAAGGCACAAGGGAGCUUGACUGCAAGCGGGACACCGCGCGCAGAGCCGAAAGGCGGGCUUAGUGAUCCGGUGGCUCCGAGUGGCAGGGCCAUCGCGCAACGGAUAAAAGCUACCCCGGGGAUAACAGGCUGAUCUUCCCCAAGAGUCCAUAUCGACGGGAAGGUUUGGCACCUCGAUGUCGGCUCAUCGCAUCCUGGGGCUGGAGUCGGUCCCAAGGGUUGGGCUGUUCGCCCAUUAAAGCGGUACGUGAGCUGGGUUCAGAACGUCGUGAGACAGUUCGGUCCCUAUCCGUCGUCAGCGUAGGAUUCUUGCGGGGGGCUGCUCCUAGUACGAGAGGACCGGAGUGGACGAACCGCUGGUGUGCCCAGUUGUGCUGCCAAGCGCAGCGCUGGGAAGCUAGGUUCGGGACGGAGAAGCGCUGACCGCAUCUAAGCGCGAAACCGGCCCCAAGAUGAGGUAUCCAGUCCCCGGCCGUCCGGCCGGGGGCGAAGACCCCCGACAGACCAUCGGGUGGAUAGGCGGACCGUGGCAGUCCCGUAAGGGAUGGAGCGAGUCCGUACUAAUCGGUCAAGAUCGGUCGUCC